Molecule: ribosomal RNA, 492 nt
Filed under: uncultured bacterium
Lineage: Bacteria
Description: partial 16S ribosomal RNA
Rfam family: Bacterial small subunit ribosomal RNA
Source: RNAcentral
AGUGAACGCUGGCGGUAGGCCUAACACAUGCAAGUCGAACGGCAGCACAGUAAGAGCUUGCUCUUACGGGUGGCGAGUGGCGGACGAGUGAGGAAUACAUCGGAAUCUACUUUUUCGUGGGGGAUAACGUAGGGAAACUUACGCUAAUACCGCAUACGACCUACGGGUGAAAGCAGGGGAUCUUCGGACCUUGCGCGAUUGAAUGAGCCGAUGUCGGAUUAGCUAGUUGGCGGGGUAAAGGCCCACCAAGGCGACGAUCCGUAGCUGGUCUGAGAGGAUGAUCAGCCACACUGGAACUGAGACACGGUCCAGACUCCUAUGGGAGGCAGCAGUGGGGAAUAUUGGACAAUGGGCGCAAGCCUGAUCCAGCCAUACCGCGUGGGUGAAGAAGGCCUUCGGGUUGUAAAACCCUUUUGUUGGGAAAGAAAAGCAGCAGGUGAAUACCCCGCUGUUCUGACGGUACCCAAAGAAUAAGCACCGGCUAACUUCGUG